GAUGAAGAACGCAGCGAAAUGCGAUACGUAGUGUGAAUUGCAGAAUUCCGUGAACCAUCGAAUCUUUGAACGCAAAUUGCGCUCGAGGCCUCGGCUAAGAGCAAGUCUGGCUCAGCGUCGGCUUACUACCCUCAAUCAAUUACCUUGUGAUGAUUGGUUGGAGCUGGCUUUCCGGUGUUCCAAUCAGGUUGCCGGUCAGCUGAAAAACAUUCACGCUGUGGAAGUCGCUUUCCCUUCAAAAAGGAAAGCCGAGUUCCGAUUUGGUAGGUGACCUUUGCCGGUUGCAUGCCUUCGUUGCUCGUUUUGGCUUUCAUGAUAGCGUGUGCAGGACGCCAUUUUGGCUUUCGACCUGAGCUCAGGCAAGAACACCCGCUGAACUUAAGCAUAUCAAUAAGCGGAGGA
RNAcentral lists this unclassified non-coding RNA (402 nucleotides) under soil metagenome. RNAcentral describes it as "partial contains 5.8S ribosomal RNA, internal transcribed spacer 2, and large subunit ribosomal RNA". The stretch from base 1 to 120 matches the Rfam family "5.8S ribosomal RNA", at positions 35 to 154 of the family's 154-position model. The record is from RNAcentral.